GCAGCAGCAGCAGACCCUAUGUGGGGUCUACAGAGGACCAGGCUGAUAUGCCUGGAGGGCAUAGUGUUGGGAGGGCAGGGAGGAGCGCUCCUGCAUUGGUUUGAAAUACCAGCAGGAGUGUUUACAGGGCGGACUUGGAAAGGGCUUAUUACCAAGGAGAACCUCACCUGUGCCCUGAAGGGUCGGCCCUGAGGCUGCCCCUCUUCUGCCUUUGGGCCGGUCUCCAGGGCCACCUGGUGACCCUCCCCAGUCUCUCUCCCAGGGUGCAUCACCCCAGCACCACCUCCAGGCCGCCUAGCAAUCCCCAAUGUCUCUCCCACCCGCUAGCAAGUUGUGGACAAGCCCACUGGGGUGGACUGCAGGGCGGUGGUGGCGCCCCAGGUCUGCGUGUCCUCAGGCUCUGUCUACAGUCUGUCCACUCCGGGACCUCUUCCUUGCGCCUUCAUCCUCUCCACUGGCCCUCAUCAUCUCUGUGCAUGUCAGAUUUUGCUGAUUAGAAAGUGGACUCAGCACAAGAAAUAUUUAAUAAGAUACUUAAUUAUUCUUAAUUAAUGAAUGAAAUGGAUCCCAUAACAGAACUUCUGGCCCAACAUGGCUUCAGUGCAGGCGGUGAUGAUCUUGCCAACAAGAGCCCAGAGUCCGGAGGCUAUGGGGUUGAUUAGUUUAUUUGGUCAGCAAGGGCAGGUCUUUGAUCCAGCUCCUCUGGGAUUCUCCUUAGCUCUUACCUCACGGCCUCACUUUGACUGCUACAUCUCCUCCCAUCACAUUCCCCCUACCAGGUCGAAGGAAAACAGUGAUGAUUGAUUUCCACCACCCACCUUCCUUUAAAGAGAUGAAACUUUCUCCAACACCACCUGCCUCCUAAACAGGGCUCCUCUCAGCUCUAUUGGGCAGAACUGGGUCAUGUGUUCUCCCCACCCCACCAUUCCAGCAGAGGAAAGAGAGGGCCAUGGCUGCUUUCCUCCAGUCAAGAUUCAUCCCCUGGGGAUGGGCCUACUUUCUGUGAGCCCAUUUCAUCAGGAGACCAGGACAGCUGACAUUUUAUGUAUUCGUAUUUAUUGUAUUCGGCAUAGAAGAAACAGCCGCUGGGGAAAAGAGCAGCAGUGUUUGCAAUGGGAGGCAAGAAGUUCAAGCACCAGAAGCCGAAGGACAAAACAGACUGUCCUGUGGAAAAUACAGACAGGAGGGUCGCGGUGCCAGCAAGUGGGGCUGACGUCUCCAGGGAUGAGUGCGUGACAGAGAAAGGACAAAACAGAGAAUGGCAUUCAUUUAGAGACAUUUACAGGAACACUGUUACCUGACCAUGACCUGACCUCA
Molecule: long non-coding RNA, 1317 nt
Organism: Bubalus bubalis (water buffalo)
Lineage: Eukaryota; Metazoa; Chordata; Mammalia; Artiodactyla; Bovidae
Exons: 2
Source: RefSeq, a predicted model, not a curated record